Molecule: ribosomal RNA, 681 nt
Filed under: Leuconostoc citreum
Lineage: Bacteria; Bacillati; Bacillota; Bacilli; Lactobacillales; Lactobacillaceae
Description: bacterial SSU rRNA
Rfam family: Bacterial small subunit ribosomal RNA
Source: RNAcentral
GGCGGUGAUCCUAAUACAUGCAGGUCGAUCGCGCGCGAGAGGUGCUUGCCCUUUAAGGAGUGGCAGACGGGUGAGUAACACGUGGAUAACCUGCCUCAAGGCUGGGGAUAACAUUUGGAAACAGAUGCUAAUACCGGGUAAAACUUAGUAUCGCAUAUAUCAAGUAAAAGGCGCUACGGCGUCACUAGAGAUGGAUCCGCGGUGCAUUAGUUAUUGGUGGGGUAAAGGCUUACCAAGACGAUGAUGCAUAGCGAGUUGAUAGACUGAUCGGCCACAUUGGGACUGAGACACGGCCCAAACUCCUACGGGAGGCUGCAGUAGGGAAUCUUCCCAAUGGGCGCAAGCCUGAUGGAGCAACGACGCGUGUGUGAUGAAGGCUUUCGGGUAGUAAAGCACUGUUUAUGGGAAGAAUGCUAAAAUAGGGAAUGAUUUGAGUUUGACGGUACCAUACCAGAAAGGGACGGCUAAUACGUGCCAGCAGCCGCGGUAAUACGUAUGUCCCGAGCGUUAUCCGGAUUUAUUGGGCGUAAAGCGAGCGCAGACGGUUGAUUAAGUCUGAUGUGAAAGCCGGAGCUCAACUCCGGAAUGGCAUUGGAAACUGGUUAACUUGAUUGUUGUAGAGGUAAGUGGAACUCCAUGUGUAGGUGUAAGUGAUAUGACUGAUGGCACGACUAAAGUAAG